UACGGAGGGUGCAAGCGUUAUCCGGAUUCACUGGGUUUAAAGGGUGCGUAGGUGGGCAGGUAAGUCAGUGGUGAAAUCUCUAGGCUUAACCUGGAAAUUGCCAUUGAUACUAUAUGUCUUGAAUGCUGUGGAGGUAAGCGGAAUAUGUCAUGUAGCGGUGAAAUGCUUAGAUAUGACAUAGAACACCUAUUGCGAAGGCAGCUUACUACGCAGAUAUUGACGCUCAUGCACGAAAGCGUGGGGAUCAAACAGG
RNAcentral lists this ribosomal RNA (253 nucleotides) under uncultured prokaryote. RNAcentral's name for it is "partial 16S ribosomal RNA". It matches the Rfam family "Bacterial small subunit ribosomal RNA", at positions 524 to 776 of the family's 1533-position model. The record is from RNAcentral.